UGCUGGGCUAAAACAAACUUUUUGGACUUC
RNAcentral lists this non-coding RNA (30 nucleotides) under Mus musculus (house mouse). The record is from RNAcentral. Lineage: Eukaryota; Metazoa; Chordata; Mammalia; Rodentia; Muridae.